Molecule: ribosomal RNA, 497 nt
Filed under: uncultured bacterium
Lineage: Bacteria
Description: partial 16S ribosomal RNA
Rfam family: Bacterial small subunit ribosomal RNA
Source: RNAcentral
GAUGAACGCUGGCGGCGUGCCUAAUACAUGCAAGUCGAGCGAACAGACGAGGAGCUUGCUCCUCUGACGUUAGCGGCGGACGGGUGAGUAACCCGUGGAUAACCUACCUAUAAGACUGGGAUAACUUCGGGAAACCGGAGCUAAUACCGGAUAAUAUAUUGAACCGCAUGGUUCAAUAGUGAAACACGGUUUUGCUGUCACUUAUAGAUGGAUCCGCGCCGCAUUAGCUAGUUGGUAAGGUAACGGCAUACCAAGGCAACGAUGCGUAGCCGACCUGAGAGGGUGAACGGCCACACUGGAACUGAGACACGGGCCAGACUCCUACGGGAGGCAGCAGUAGGGAAUCUUCCGCAAUGGGCGAAAGCUUGACGGAGCAACGCCGCGUGAGUGAUGAAGGUCUUCGGAUCGUAAAACUCUGUUAUUAGGGAAGAACAAAUGUGUAAGUAACUAUGCACGUCUUGACGGUACCUAAUCAGAAAGCCACGGCUAACUACGUG